CCUACGGGAGGCAGCAGUGGGGAAUAUUGGACAAUGGGCGAAAGCCUGAUCCAGCAAUGCCGCGUGAGUGAUGAAGGCCUUAGGGUUGUAAAGCUCUUUUACCAGGGAUGAUAAUGACAGUACCUGGAGAAUAAGCUCCGGCUAACUCCGUGCCAGCAGCCGCGGUAAUACGGAGGGAGCUAGCGUUGUUCGGAAUUACUGGGCGUAAAGCGUGCGUAGGCGGUGAUUCAAGUCAGAGGUGAAAGCCUGGAGCUCAACUCCAGAACGGCCUUUGAAACUAGAUCGCUAGAAUUAUGGAGAGGUAAGUGGAAUUCCGAGUGUAGAGGUGAAAUUCGUAGAUAUUCGGAAGAACACCAGUGGCGAAGGCGACUUACUGGACAUAUAUUGACGCUGAGGUACGAAAGCGUGGGGAGCAAACAGGAUUAGAUACCCUGGUAGUCCACGCCGUAAACGAUGAUAACUAGCUGUUCGGGCUCUCAGAGCUUGAGUGGCGCAGCUACGACAUUAAGUUAUCCGCCGUCGGGUAGGUACGGUCGCGAAGAAGUUAAACUACGAAGAAGUUAGACGGCGUGAGACGUGCCGACGGACGACGACGAGGGAGGUUAGG
This 607-nucleotide ribosomal RNA is filed under the name uncultured bacterium. RNAcentral's name for it is "bacterial SSU rRNA". The stretch from base 1 to 518 matches the Rfam family "Bacterial small subunit ribosomal RNA", at positions 338 to 873 of the family's 1533-position model. The record is from RNAcentral.